UACAGAGGGUGCAAGCGUUAAUCGGAAUUACUGGGCGUAAAGCGUGUGUAGGUGGUUUGCUAAGUCAGGUGUGAAAUCCCUGGGCUCAACCUAGGAAUUGCAUUUGAUACUGGCAGACUAGAGUGCGGUAGAGGAUGGUGGAAUUCCCGGUGUAGCGGUGAAAUGUGUAGAUAUCGGGAGGAACAUCAGUGGCGAAGGCGGCCAUCUGGACUGACACUGACACUGAGACACGAAAGCGUGGGGAGCAAACAGG
Molecule: ribosomal RNA, 253 nt
Filed under: uncultured bacterium
Lineage: Bacteria
Description: partial 16S ribosomal RNA
Rfam family: Bacterial small subunit ribosomal RNA
Source: RNAcentral